This 253-nucleotide ribosomal RNA is filed under the name uncultured bacterium. Its description in RNAcentral is "partial 16S ribosomal RNA". It matches the Rfam family "Bacterial small subunit ribosomal RNA", at positions 524 to 776 of the family's 1533-position model. The record is from RNAcentral.
UACAGAGGGGGCAAGCGUUGUUCGGAAUUACUGGGCGUAAAGGGCGCGUAGGUGGCCUUCUAAGUUGAACGUGAAAUCCCCGGGCUCAACCCGGGAACUGCGUCCGAUACUGGCAGGCUUGAAUCCGGGAGAGGGAUGUGGAAUUCCAGGUGUAGCGGUGAAAUGCGUAGAUAUCUGGAGGAACACCGGUGGCGAAGGCGGCAUCCUGGACCGGUAUUGACGCUGAGGCGCGAAAGCCAGGGGAGCAAACGGG